Stegostoma tigrinum is the source of this 2721-nucleotide long non-coding RNA. RefSeq lists it as uncharacterized. The transcript has 5 exons. Lineage: Eukaryota; Metazoa; Chordata; Chondrichthyes; Orectolobiformes; Stegostomatidae. The record is from RefSeq and is a predicted model, not a curated record.
AUAUCCGGAAUGAAAUGAUCCUCCAUGAAGAUCCUCCAUGAGAGCCACAAGUGAACAUUCAACAACUUGAAAACUGGAUUGAAAAUGAGAGACAGAGCAGCCACUGCAGAAGCUUCCAAAAUCACUCUGCAGCUCCUUGUACUGCUGCAAUCCACGUGGUGAAGUAGCUCCCAUGUUGCAAUUUGGUUGAUGACAUCCUUCGAAGAACAGGAGAUCUGAAGUGGACACAUUAUUCCAGAAGAGGCCCCACUGAUGUUCUGCACAAUUUCAACAUAACGUCCCACCUCCGAUACUCAAAAGGACAUGGACUUUGCUGGCUUGGCCAGAAUUUAUUGCCCAUCUGUGAUUGCCCAGAGGGCUAUCAAGUGUCAACUGCAUUGCUGUAUGGCUGGAGUCACGCACAGGCCCAACCAGGGAAUUGGAAAGGGGGCAUUUAUUGACAGGGAGCUCAACACAUACACUGGAUCAAGAACUGCCAGGAAUACUUAAUUCUCAGGAGCUUUGAACAUGGAAGGAACAAGCAUCGUUUACAGUGAAGAGAAACCAUACAUGUGGUCUGUGUGGACAAGCCUUCAGUCAGUUGUCUGGCCUGUCGAUACGUAAAUGCAGUCAAAACAGGGUGACAACAAUGACAUCAAGCAGCUCUUGCUUUGUAAUAUCACAGUGAUGGAUCUCAGUUUGAGUUAAGCAAGGGCCACUCAUCUCCUCUCCUCCCUACAUUCUUGGUGAAAACAUGGACCAACCAGCUGAAUUCUGAAUGUGAGAGGGACUAUCCACUAUCUUAAGGCUCCAUUUGACAGAACAUUGUAUUAAGGCAUCAUGACAAAGCUAAAUUCAAUAGAAGCCAGAGAAUAUUAUUCUUCCUUGGAUAGCUGGGUUUUGAAAACAUUGUGUCUUGAGACCUCAGUAGAUUGAAACAAGGUGAAUUUAUUCCAACUUGCACCACAUACACGCGGAAGAGGUCUUUCAGCCAAGCUCGGAGACACUGUCCUAUUUACAGCUACUCAGAAACAGCAUAUUAAGGCAUUUUCAUGCCAGAAUGGCUGCAUGUAACAUUGAUUUAAAAUAAAUUUUAUGUCAGUAAAUUACUACAAAAACAGGAUGCAGUUCAGUUUCUGCCAAAGUUCUGAGUCCUCUAAUUUCAACAGGACUGCCACUUCCACAUUAUCUUCAGAGCUUCUCUAUCCCACCAUCAGCUCACAGCUGGGUGAGCAAUACUUACGUGACUAUCUUAAGCUAUACAGAUAGUUUCUGAGCCCUAAGUAACUGUUGAUGGUUCACUGUUAUGGACCUGCAGUUAAACUGUCUGAGCAACAAUAAUUCUGACCUGAUAUGGUUGUAUUUGACAGUUACCUUGUGCUGCACUGCUGGGACAAGUUUAUUUUCUACUUGUUCUGUGUUUUAAAGUUCUGCUCCUUUUCCUUCUCCGUUUCCAAUGUACAUUCUCUUACCCUCCUUAACCUACUUCACUCUGGUUUAAUAAUACUGAAAUACAGAAGAGGAGGCUUGUGAUUGUAGGAGGGCAAUUGUCUCAGCUGCAGGAGUUCCUCAGGAUCAGGUCCUAGUCCCAACCACCUUCAGCUGUUUCAUCAAUGACCUUCCCUGCGCCGUAACGUCAGAAGUGGGAAUGUUUGCUGAUGCUUGCACAAUACUUUAGCACCAUUUGUGGCUCCUUGGAUACUGAAGCAGUAGAUAUCUAAAUGCAGUAUGCCUGGACAACAUUGACGUGAGCCUGCCAUGUGACAAAGAACAUUUGCACCAACAAGUACCAACAAAUAAUGAUCAAAUCUGAGAAAUGAGAAUCGAACCACAGCCAAGUGACAUUCACUGGGUGUAUCUUUAUGGAAUUCCCCAUUAUCAUCAUCCUGGGGACGAAUAUUGAUGAGAAACUGAAUUGGAAAUAUCAGCUGAAUAAUGUGCAUCCAAAAUAUAUCAAACCCUCUCAACCACCUGACUUCCUGUUCAACCACGUUCAGGGAUUUGUGAAUGUUCAUUCCAAGGUCUGUUUGUCCCUCUACACCAUUUGCUAUUCCUCGCUUUCAUAGUUCAGUCUCCCUAAAUUCAUUAUCACUCACUCCUGUGGAUUCAUUUCCUUUCACCAUUUUAUCUUUCCACUUGAUUGACAACUCCCUGCAGUCCACGGUUUUCUUCGUCAUGGUCAACUACAUGAUUAUUUAUUCUAAAUUAUGGCUUCUACAACUAGGUUUUAAUGAUGGUUAUACAUCAGAAAACAAUGGAACUCCACUGGAUUAAAAACUGAAAGGACUGCAAUUGCUGUAAAUCAGAAACAAAUAAAAAACAGAAAUUACUGGAAAAGGUCAGUAGAACUGGCAGCAUCUGUGGAGAGAAAACAGAGAUAACCUUUCAGGUCGAGUAACCCUCAGAUUUCCACUGGAAACAGGUGUCCAGAUAUGGUUCCUUCUUCGGUGGGAAUUCGCAGCACCUAUAACAGCAGAGUAUAACUAUAUGUGAAUUUGUGGGUGGCUCCGGAGUUUAUUUUUCUGAAUGAUCCCUUCCCACACUUGGGACUGGUGAACAACGUCUCCCCAGUACACCUGAGUAAAUGAGUUUCCACCUCAGUGGGUAAUUGAAUCCUUCCCUCGGUCCGCACAGUUCCCUGGUUUCUCUGUGCUGUGGGUGUCCUUGUCUCCGUCCAGAUUGGGCGAUCAGGUGAAUUCGAGUCAAUGCAGAGAGAAGGCCUAUUUUUUUUUCUUGUUGUGA